UCUUGCUUUGCUUGGUUUACGACCAUUAUACUAUUACAUUCAGCCCAUAAUCUGAUGUCAAUGUUCAGACUUAUUAAAAGUUAAGCCUUUUAGUGUAAUGGCUACUUACAAUAGCCGCUUAUGGUAAUUACUGGCGCCACACACAGUUCAGCUAGAAUUAUUACCUUAAAGCAAAUAUUCUUCUCUAUUGUUGGCAGAGAUGGCCUAGUUGGCAGUGCUACCAUACACCAUGACUUUGACCACUAUAGAUGGACCUGACGAAUCAUCAUGCUAUGCCAACAAUUUCAAGCUCCUUCAAAGGCUUCUCUGAUGACUUCCUGCUGUCGACAGGUUACCUUCCAUUGGGGUAGUCACAAU
This is a long non-coding RNA of Sorghum bicolor (sorghum), 357 nucleotides long. RefSeq lists it as uncharacterized. The record is from RefSeq and is a predicted model, not a curated record. Lineage: Eukaryota; Viridiplantae; Streptophyta; Magnoliopsida; Poales; Poaceae. The transcript is spliced from 3 exons.